RNAcentral lists this ribosomal RNA (468 nucleotides) under uncultured bacterium. RNAcentral describes it as "partial 16S ribosomal RNA". It matches the Rfam family "Bacterial small subunit ribosomal RNA", at positions 28 to 507 of the family's 1533-position model. The record is from RNAcentral.
GACGAACGCUGGCGGCGUGCUUAACACAUGCAAGUCGAACGGAAAGACCCUGCUUUUGUGGGGUGCUCGAGUGGCGAACGGGUGAGUAACACGUGAGUAACCUGCCCUUGACUUUGGGAUAACUUCAGGAAACUGGGGCUAAUACCGGAUAGGAGCUCCUGCUGCAUGGUGGGGGUUGGAAAGUUUCGGCGGUUGGGGAUGGACUCGCGGCUUAUCAGCUUGUUGGUGGGGUAGUGGCUUACCAAGGCUUUGACGGGUAGCCGGCCUGAGAGGGUGACCGGCCACAUUGGGACUGAGAUACGGCCCAGACUCCUGCGGGAGGCAGCAGUGGGGAAUAUUGCACAAUGGGCGGAAGCCUGAUGCAGCAACGCCGCGUGCGGGAUGACGGCCUUCGGGUUGUAAACCGCUUUCGCCUGUGACGAAGCGUGAGUGACGGUAAUGGGUAAAGAAGCACCGGCUAACUACGUG